UCCGAAUUGGUGUAGUGGCUAACAUUUGACGCUCUCAAGAUUUCAAUAAAUCUAGGAACCGUCAAGCCCGGGGUUCGAUUCCCCGAUUCGGAG
Molecule: transfer RNA, 93 nt
Filed under: Rostrohypoxylon terebratum
Lineage: Eukaryota; Fungi; Ascomycota; Sordariomycetes; Xylariales; Hypoxylaceae
Description: tRNA-Glu
Rfam family: tRNA
About the family: Transfer RNA (tRNA) molecules are approximately 80 nucleotides in length. Their secondary structure includes four short double-helical elements and three loops (D, anti-codon, and T loops). Further hydrogen bonds mediate the characteristic L-shaped molecular structure. tRNAs have two regions of fundamental functional importance: the anti-codon, which is responsible for specific mRNA codon recognition, and the 3' end, to which the tRNAs corresponding amino acid is attached (by aminoacyl-tRNA synthetases). tRNAs cope with the degeneracy of the genetic code in two manners: having more than one tRNA (with a specific anti-codon) for a particular amino acid; and 'wobble' base-pairing, i.e. permitting non-standard base-pairing at the 3rd anti-codon position.
Source: RNAcentral